AUCAACUUUCGAUGGUAGGAUAGAGGCCUACCAUGGUGGUAACGGGUAACGGGGUGUUAGGGCACGACACCGGAGAGGGAGCCUGAGAAACGGCUACCACAUCCAAGGAUGGCAGCAGGCGCGCAAAUUACCCAAUCCCGACACGGGGAGGUAGUGACAAUAAAUAACAAUACGGGGUUCUUUCGGAUUUCGUAAUUGGAAUGAGUACAAUUUAAAUCUCUUAACGAGGAACAAUUGGAGGGCAAGUCUGGUGCCAGCAGCCGCGGUAAUUCCAGCUCCAAUAGCGUAUAUUAAAGUUGCUGCAGUUAAAAAGCUCGUAGUUGAAUUUCGGGACCAAUAUGUCGGUCGUGCCUUGGUACGUACUGGCAUCGUUGGUUUCUCCCUUCUGACGAACCCUGAUGUCAUUUAUUUGGUGUCGUGGGGAAUCAGGACUGUUACUUUGAAAAAAUUAGAGUGUUUAAAGCAGGCUCACGCUUGAAUACAUUAGCAUGGAAUAAUGAAAUAGGACGUUUGAUUCUAUUUUGUUGGUUUCUAGGAUCGACGUAAUGAUUAAUAGGGAUAGUUGGGGGCAUUAGUAUUCAAUUGUCAGAGGUGAAAUUCUUGGAUUUAUUGAAGACUAACUACUGCGAAAGCAUUUGCCAAGGAUGUUUUCAUUAAUCAAGAACGAAAGUUAGGGGAUCGAAGACGAUCAGAUACCGUCGUAGUCUUAACCAUAAACUAUGCCGACUAGGGAUCGGGUGAUGUUAAUUUUUUAAUGACUCAUUCGGCGCCUUACGGGAAACCAAAGUGUUUGGGUUC
RNAcentral lists this ribosomal RNA (798 nucleotides) under uncultured Glomeromycotina. RNAcentral describes it as "SSU rRNA". It matches the Rfam family "Eukaryotic small subunit ribosomal RNA", at positions 314 to 1114 of the family's 1831-position model. The record is from RNAcentral. Lineage: Eukaryota; Fungi; Glomeromycota.